GGAGGAAAAGAAACCAACAGGGAUUGCCUCAGUAACGGCGAGUGAAGCGGCAAGAGCUCAACUUUGGAAUCGCUCCGGCGAGUUGUAGUCUGGAGGUGGCCACCACGAGGUGUUCUAGCAGCAGGCAAGUCCUUUGGAACAAGGCGCCAGCGAGGGUGACAGCCCCGUACCUGCUUUUGCUAGUGCUUCCUGUGGCCCACCGACGAGUCGAGUUGUUUGGGAAUGCAGCUCUAAGUGGGUGGUAAAUUCCAUCUAAGGCUAAAUAUUGGCGAGAGACCGAUAGCGAACAAGUACAGUGAUGGAAAGAUGAAAAGCACUUUGAAAAGAGAGUGAAACAGUACGUGAAAUUGUUGAAAGGGAAGGGCUUGCACCCAGACACGGUUUCGGCCGGGCCAGCAUCAAGUAGAACGGGGUUAAAAGACUUGGGGAAUGUAGCUACUUCGGUAGUGUUAUAGCCCUUGGUGAUGACCCCUGUUUUGCUUGAAGGACAGCGGUCUCUAGGAUGCUGGCGCAAUGGUUGCAAGCCACCCGUCUUGAA
This 538-nucleotide ribosomal RNA is filed under the name Candidozyma auris. RNAcentral's name for it is "[Candida] auris partial large subunit ribosomal RNA". It matches the Rfam family "Eukaryotic large subunit ribosomal RNA", at positions 52 to 658 of the family's 3401-position model. Lineage: Eukaryota; Fungi; Ascomycota; Pichiomycetes; Serinales; Metschnikowiaceae. The record is from RNAcentral.